This is a non-coding RNA of Schistosoma curassoni, 46 nucleotides long. NCBI's taxonomy places the organism in Eukaryota, Metazoa, Platyhelminthes, Trematoda, Strigeidida, Schistosomatidae. The record is from Rfam.
GGACUGCUGAGGAGUAUCACAAUAGGACGAAACGGCCGUCCAGUGC